RNAcentral lists this ribosomal RNA (1554 nucleotides) under Salmonella enterica subsp. enterica serovar Manchester str. ST278. RNAcentral's name for it is "bacterial SSU rRNA". It matches the Rfam family "Bacterial small subunit ribosomal RNA". The record is from RNAcentral. Lineage: Bacteria; Pseudomonadati; Pseudomonadota; Gammaproteobacteria; Enterobacterales; Enterobacteriaceae.
UUAAAUUGAAGAGUUUGAUCAUGGCUCAGAUUGAACGCUGGCGGCAGGCCUAACACAUGCAAGUCGAACGGUAACAGGAAGCAGCUUGCUGCUUCGCUGACGAGUGGCGGACGGGUGAGUAAUGUCUGGGAAACUGCCUGAUGGAGGGGGAUAACUACUGGAAACGGUGGCUAAUACCGCAUAACGUCGCAAGACCAAAGAGGGGGACCUUCGGGCCUCUUGCCAUCAGAUGUGCCCAGAUGGGAUUAGCUAGUUGGUGAGGUAACGGCUCACCAAGGCGACGAUCCCUAGCUGGUCUGAGAGGAUGACCAGCCACACUGGAACUGAGACACGGUCCAGACUCCUACGGGAGGCAGCAGUGGGGAAUAUUGCACAAUGGGCGCAAGCCUGAUGCAGCCAUGCCGCGUGUAUGAAGAAGGCCUUCGGGUUGUAAAGUACUUUCAGCGGGGAGGAAGGUGUUGUGGUUAAUAACCGCAGCAAUUGACGUUACCCGCAGAAGAAGCACCGGCUAACUCCGUGCCAGCAGCCGCGGUAAUACGGAGGGUGCAAGCGUUAAUCGGAAUUACUGGGCGUAAAGCGCACGCAGGCGGUCUGUCAAGUCGGAUGUGAAAUCCCCGGGCUCAACCUGGGAACUGCAUUCGAAACUGGCAGGCUUGAGUCUUGUAGAGGGGGGUAGAAUUCCAGGUGUAGCGGUGAAAUGCGUAGAGAUCUGGAGGAAUACCGGUGGCGAAGGCGGCCCCCUGGACAAAGACUGACGCUCAGGUGCGAAAGCGUGGGGAGCAAACAGGAUUAGAUACCCUGGUAGUCCACGCCGUAAACGAUGUCUACUUGGAGGUUGUGCCCUUGAGGCGUGGCUUCCGGAGCUAACGCGUUAAGUAGACCGCCUGGGGAGUACGGCCGCAAGGUUAAAACUCAAAUGAAUUGACGGGGGCCCGCACAAGCGGUGGAGCAUGUGGUUUAAUUCGAUGCAACGCGAAGAACCUUACCUGGUCUUGACAUCCACGGAAGUUUUCAGAGAUGAGAAUGUGCCUUCGGGAACCGUGAGACAGGUGCUGCAUGGCUGUCGUCAGCUCGUGUUGUGAAAUGUUGGGUUAAGUCCCGCAACGAGCGCAACCCUUAUCCUUUGUUGCCAGCGAUUAGGUCGGGAACUCAAAGGAGACUGCCAGUGAUAAACUGGAGGAAGGUGGGGAUGACGUCAAGUCAUCAUGGCCCUUACGACCAGGGCUACACACGUGCUACAAUGGCGCAUACAAAGAGAAGCGACCUCGCGAGAGCAAGCGGACCUCAUAAAGUGCGUCGUAGUCCGGAUUGGAGUCUGCAACUCGACUCCAUGAAGUCGGAAUCGCUAGUAAUCGUGGAUCAGAAUGCCACGGUGAAUACGUUCCCGGGCCUUGUACACACCGCCCGUCACACCAUGGGAGUGGGUUGCAAAAGAAGUAGGUAGCUUAACCUUCGGGAGGGCGCUUACCACUUUGUGAUUCAUGACUGGGGUGAAGUCGUAACAAGGUAACCGUAGGGGAACCUGCGGUUGGAUCACCUCCUUACCUUAAAGAA